Molecule: long non-coding RNA, 539 nt
Organism: Centruroides sculpturatus (bark scorpion)
Lineage: Eukaryota; Metazoa; Arthropoda; Arachnida; Scorpiones; Buthidae
Exons: 4
Source: RefSeq, a predicted model, not a curated record
AUAUUUUUAAAUUUUAGAUAGACAAACUCCAUUCAUCUGUCGGGACAAUAAUGACUGUUAUGAACACUAUUCUGGAUCUUACUGCAAACAAACAAACUGCUUCUGUGAAAAUUUUCAUGAAAAGAGCAAAUCCCAUGCAAAGCCAGUGAUAGAUACACUUAAUAUAUGUGUUAUCCAGUCUACUAGUUUAGAGACACGAUCAGUAUUUCCAUGGAAAACUGUUCUUGCAGUAUGUGGAGCUCUUGGAGUUGUAGCCCUUCUUUUUGUAGGUUUAAGGUGGAUUUAUCCUAUGAUGCAGGAUAUGAACUGCCCAAACCACAGAUCAGAAUGGCAGGAGCCAUCAAGAGAAGGUUCAUUUUAUUCUUCACACCCAUCUGCUCCUAGAGAAACCACCUUACCAACACAGCAAAGAAAUUAUAAUCAUUCAGAUAAUACACUAGAUGAUAAGCCUCCACCAUAUGAAACAAUUCAAUUGUUAGAUGCUCCUCCUAAGUACGAAGAUGCCUCGGCAACUCAAAACAUUCGCCAGACAACCGGAU